UCAGCCAAGCUGGUAGUUUUGGAAUACUUGUAGCUGCAACCAUAUGUUGCCUGUCUUUUAUUUUUUAGGUGCUUGUGAGAGAAGGCAGGAUUUUCCCUCCUUCAUUGCAGUUUCUGUGCUUACAGAUUUGCAGACUGAAAGAGCAGCAAACUACAAAUUCAUCUUUAUGUGGCCCUCAUUGGAAGGAGGAGACUCAUGGCCUGUCCCCCAAAAAGGUAAGAACUUUGUGUCCGGAGCAAGGCCCUGAUGGCUGAGGAUCCCACCAGGAGAGGCCUCUGGAGCUGGAUGAGGAGGCACAGCCUCCUUAACAACAUGCAAAUUAAUACAACUUCCUUCAAAUAGGCAGCACAGUAUGUCACAUGUUGAGAAAUAACUAACAGGUGACACAUACAAAAUUUCAAGGGUUUCUAUGAGACCAGAAAAUACAAAU
Molecule: long non-coding RNA, 430 nt
Filed under: Cyanistes caeruleus (blue tit)
Lineage: Eukaryota; Metazoa; Chordata; Aves; Passeriformes; Paridae
Description: lncRNA (ENSCCEG00000010683.1)
Source: RNAcentral